AUGCUAAUAUAUGUGUGUGCCAAAGUCAAAUCAUUUCUUGAGUGGGAACAGGUCAGUAUAGUUGUCUUUCUUUUUAUGAAAGCCAUAGAUUUAUCCAAAAUGUUGAGCAUGUUGUUAUGCUAUUUCUUUCCAAGGAAGCAGUCUGUCCUUCCUACAUUUACUGUAGUAUAAAGAUUUCUAUGGUGAAAUUUAUUUGGCACAAUGUAUUGUGUUCAAACGGUAUAAGGACUUCAAGGAGGAAAGACAGUCCACAAAAGAGUCUCUCAUCCAGAAAAGUGCCAUUGAGUCAUGAAGUGAAAAACCAUCAUGGAUUUGAAUAUAGCAGUAAAGGCAAAUCAGAGAGUUGUGUUAAGAGAAAUAGUUCAGGGAUUCAAUAUCAACAUUGAUUCCAUUGUCACCAUUCUGCAAACACAUCUUGUGUAUUGAAAAGUAUGUACUCAAUGAUUUUGUGCCAGUGAUACCAGAAUAGAAUGAAUACCAGAUCAAUAUUGCCCUGUAGCAUCUUUCCUGCUAUUAUGAACUGCCUUUCUCUGACAGAUUGUAACCAACAACAAACUAUGGUAUCACUACUUCAACUCUAAGCCAAUGAGCAUAGAAUAGAGGCACCCAUCCUCUCCAUUACCAAAGAAGUCUUGCAAAUCUCUUUCUGCAAGUAAGGAUAUAACUUUUUUUUAUGAAAAAAGUUCCAUUCUUCAUGGAAUGCUUACAAACUAGGCCAGCCAUUAGCUCAAAUGUUGUAUAUUGAAACAUUGGGUAAACACCAUCAUGCCAUCAAGAAGAAAAUGCCUGAUAAGUUGACAUAUGGAGUUAUCCUACUAUAUGUAAUGCUCAGCUCCAUGCUGCUAACAUAAGUAAUGACACCAAAAAAAUAAAAAUUGAAAUUUAAACAAAAUUUUUUCCAAUAAAAAUACAAAAUACAAAAGUUCCUAAAUUUUUGCUGAGACAUAAUAAGAAUGGGAGUGUGAACACAUCAUUUGUUUGUCUAGAUGUAAUAGGCAUUGCAGCACAAAGAAUUAGUAUUUAUAUAGACAAAGCUGAGUCUUUUUAGGUAGAAAUGUUUGAUAAAUUCUUGCAUACAAAUUAACUAGAUUGUUUUCGGCUUUAAUACGCCUUCAGACUAUAUAACUGAAGUAUACUAACUGCUGACAAGACUAACUAAAGCCAAAAUUGCACCCCUGCAACAUGACUGAUGACGCAAGAAGCAACAAUAUAUGAACCAGUACCAGAAACUUUAGGAAAUUCUAAAUUAAUGAAAAAGCUCUUAAGGAAGCAAAAAAAAGAAACCA
RNAcentral lists this long non-coding RNA (1286 nucleotides) under Androctonus crassicauda. Lineage: Eukaryota; Metazoa; Arthropoda; Arachnida; Scorpiones; Buthidae. The record is from RNAcentral.